UAACCAUAGUGCUCUACCUCUACUGUAUGAGUAUGAGUAAUUCUAUUCUUUUUCUAUUGCUCUCUGCCAUUCCUUCCGUCGAUUCUAGAUUGGAGAGCAUUCAUUGCUUUCUUUGAGGUUUUGCUUGAAAUUCUUCGGACAAAUCAACAUGUCUUCUGCAGUACAGUUGGGAGCAAAUAAUGCAGUAGGGGCAAUCAAUUGAUGAUGGUGAAACUACCAGGCUAGCAUUAUAAAGAAACUUCUUUUUUACUCGGAAUAUGCAAAAGCUCCACAAGGCGAUGAUUAAAGAGCUUGCAUUAUCAAAGCUACUAAGGGCAAAGUAGGCAGAAACUUCACUUGUACAAUGAAUGCCCUCUUUCUUCCUUUCAAGUGAAGUAGGAAGUAAAUGUAAUAGCAAUAACACUGGUUCAUGAUAAGGGUCCUAGUCCAUCAAAGAUGAGUGUGUGGGUCAAUGUCAUGUUGUAAUAGUUUGUACAAACUACAAAGGCAUAUAGCAAAGCUACUAGUAGAUAGUCACUGUUUUAUUUCAUCAUUGAUCUAUUAUGAUAAAUCAGCCUUAUGUUCAGAGGACAAUGGCUGAAACUCAUACUCCUGGCUCAAGAGAUUGUUAAGAAUCAUAACAAAACCUCUUUGAUCCCAAGAUGUGCAAUUGAAAUAACCUCAUGAAGGCACAUGACAAUCUAUAAUGUGUCUGGGGAAUUAAACACUCA
Molecule: long non-coding RNA, 710 nt
Organism: Quercus lobata
Lineage: Eukaryota; Viridiplantae; Streptophyta; Magnoliopsida; Fagales; Fagaceae
Exons: 3
Source: RefSeq, a predicted model, not a curated record